This is a long non-coding RNA of Gallus gallus (chicken), 1572 nucleotides long. Lineage: Eukaryota; Metazoa; Chordata; Aves; Galliformes; Phasianidae. The record is from Ensembl.
UAAAAACUCCAGCUUAAAAUUGAGCUUUGUUUAGACAUUGCCAUCGGUGUUCUUCUAGAAUUUUUCACUCACUCAAAGAUGGAUUAUUCACCCAGUAAUGAAAGAUGGGCAUGAAGGGAGGUCGGGAUGUUGGUGUGGAAACCACCAGGAGAUGUGAUGCUUGUGUCCCUCAGCCUCAGUGCUCACAAAACGACUGCUCUCAAAUGUUAUGCUUUUUCUACCCUAGAGGCAGAAGUUUUCCUGCUUACAGAGUGUAUUCAAAAAAAAGGGAAUGGAAUUGGAAUGCUAAGCAAUGCAUUAUUGGUGACACGGUGAGCAAAUAGGUUAUCAAUUUCUAAUGCACUCUCAGCAGCGCUGUACAAAAGCUGUGCAAAUUUGCUUUCUGUGUCGGCCAAAGGCAUCGUUGUACCAUGUGGGUGCAAUGAUUGGAGAGAACAGUUUGUAGUAGUUCACUAAACGAAGUUUAAGCCACUAUAUCUAAAUUAGGCGUUUGCCUUUGACAUCUUAUUAUUUCAUAAUUGUAACUACGAGGCUUUUCAGAGUGGGUAAUUGCUUUUUUUCCCCAAAGCUGCAUUAGUCUUCAAGGGCAAGUGAUGGUGAAAUAGAAGCCUGAGUGCCUGAAGUUGUAAAAUAAAGAGAAUCAAGCAUGAGCUAAGAGUAUAAUUCACAUAGAAACUCCCCUUCAGCUGCCGGGUCCCUCAUCUCAGAGCUGGUGGAAAAUGCUGCAGAGGAAUGGGUAGAACCCUGAAGAAAACUCAGGACAGUUUCAUGGUGUUGGGGAUCUAGGGGCAUUCAGCAUCAGCUGUGCAUCCAGGAGAUUGCUGACUUCUUCCCAAGGAGCUGAAAUCUCAUUCUUCUCUGUUUUAACGAAGCUUGCUGAUGCCCUUUUCUCUCAUUUGGUAAUCGGCUGAAGUUCCUGGGAAAGGAACAGGAAAUGAGUGGAAGGAUCAGAGGCAGCAGAAAGGUGUGAGCUGGGCGACUCGCUGCUGAAAUAGGUGAAGGAGAAGGGUGAACCAGCCCUUCUGCAUUUCCCCUGCAGAAAGCAUUAAAGUGCAUACCUAAAAGAGGUUUCUCAAAGUUCAAGAGGUGAGGAGAAGCACUGGAAUGGAAACCUCAUAGUGAUGGACCCUCACUGUGACAUUUUGAUGCGCUCUGGAGAGAAAUACGGGCAUUUUGCUUCUCCCACCUUUGAGCUGAAGUAGUACACCAGCUGAAGUCCUUCACUCUUCUGUAUUUGAAAGGGUUUCAUUUUUGAUAAAGGUUCAGUGUUACAAAGAUACCAAAUCUUCAUGUGCCCUGUGCUUCAGCAAAGUACCGAUAACAGCAAUAAACCCCCUAACGUGAGAUGUUCUGGGGUUAUCUCUGAAGAAGGCUCCUCUUCAUUCGGCUGCCAAUUGCAAAUGAACCUAGUUAUAAAAUUUCUCUUUAUUGCCACCUUUCCAUAUCCCUGAGGUUAAUUCUGAAAUAUGCAUGAAAUGUAAUUAGUGCAGAUCCAUUUCUGCCAGCACGUUUUACACAAGUGGCUCCCGGUGGCAGAUCUGGAUGUAUUCAUAAUAAAAUGAUUCAGUUAAA